This 253-nucleotide ribosomal RNA is filed under the name uncultured bacterium. RNAcentral describes it as "partial 16S ribosomal RNA". It matches the Rfam family "Bacterial small subunit ribosomal RNA", at positions 524 to 776 of the family's 1533-position model. The record is from RNAcentral.
UACGUAGGGUGCGAGCGUUGCCCGGAUUUAUUGGGCGUAAAGGGCGCGUAGGCGGUCACGCACGUCCGUUGUGAAAUCGCUCGGCUCAACUGGGCGGGGUCAGCGGAUACGGCGUGGCUGGAGCAAGCUAGGGGGCAAUGGAAUUCCCGGUGUAGUGGUGGAAUGCGUAGAUAUCGGGAGGAACACCAGUGGCGAAAGCGCGUGACUGGGCCACAACUGACGCUGAGGAACGAAAGCCAGGGGAGCGAAAGGG